Molecule: long non-coding RNA, 1252 nt
Organism: Oncorhynchus tshawytscha (Chinook salmon)
Lineage: Eukaryota; Metazoa; Chordata; Actinopteri; Salmoniformes; Salmonidae
Source: Ensembl
GGUGGGACUUCUAAAUACAUUACCACAAUCAUGACUAGGUCGGUUGGUGGGACUUCUAAAUACAUUACCACAAUCAUGACUAGGUCGGUUGAUGGGACUUCUAAAUACAUUACCACAAUCAUGACUAGGUCGGUUGCAGGAAAUAAAAGUACAUGCUUUGUUGCUGGAAAUAUCUUUCAGAUAUUAAGAAAAGUUAGCAAAAUGCUGUCGGGAUGCUGACGUUGGCUAAGAACGUCUUGAUUUGAAAGGUGGAAGAGAGACAGAGAGAGUCCCCAUCAACUGUUGCUCAGCAUUAUUGACGGACUGAUCAAUGGAUUAGUUAUUGAUCCAGGACCGUUUGACAUGUAGAGGGAGUUAAUUGUAUUUCCAAGAAGGAUGGGAGGUGGGCCAGGAUCAUCUUUGACUUAUUUGACUCUAUCCUGAUAGGGAGAGAUAGGUGUCUCAUUUGACACUUCAGCGAUCUCCUACAAUGUAAUACCUGAGCUGGGAGCUGACAAUCCCCAGUGUGUGUGUGAGUGUGUGUUCCCCAGAGAAUAUCUGUCCUCUGAUGGGGAUCGGAGUGGAUCAAUAAGCAAUGAUAGACUUCUGCCUUCCAUUCAGCUAAUCCUGUUAGUGAUAGCAGUGGAUGUAAUCGAAUGGUGACACACACACAGAGACAAGGUAGAUGUGUGGACACACAGAGAGACAAGGUAGAUGUGUGGACACACAGAGAGACAAGGUAGAUGUGUGGACACACAGAGAGACAAGGUAGAUGUGUGGACACACAGAGAGACAAGGUAGAUGUGUGGACACACAGAGAGACAAGGUAGAUAUGUGUGGACACACACAGAGACAAGGUAGAUGUGUGGACACACACAGAGACAAGGUAGAUGUGUGGACACACACAGAGACAAGGUAGAUGUGUGGACACACACACAGCACGCACAGAGGCAGGCAGGCACACAAGCAUGUACAUACACACAUAUUAUGAUCAUUAAACACAGGAACCUUUGAUAUGGAGAUCAGUAAAACUAUGGGAGGCACUGCAGAAAGGGACACCCUUGAAAUAGCACAUCUUGACACAUGUAUCAGUGAUAACCACACGCAGCCUAUGAGUCUCACACAUAUCUGUAAUGAUUCCGGAUUCAAAUUUUGAUCUCCAUUUUGAAGAGGGGGACAUAAUAAAAGUGAACACCAACUGUUCCUGUAUGAAGGUACAUCAAGGGAACACUUCUGAUAUGACAUAAUCCUAUCCGCUCCACGUCUCUCCUCC